GAGGAAUAUUGGUCAAUGGACGGAAGUCUGAACCAGCCAAGUAGCGUGCAGGAUGACGGCCCUCUGGGUUGUAAACUGCUUUUAGUUGGGAAUAAAAAAGAGGACGUGUCCUCUAUUGUAUGUACCUUCAGAAAAAGGACCGGCUAAUUCCGUGCCAGCAGCCGCGGUAAUACGGAAGGUCCAGGCGUUAUCCGGAUUUAUUGGGUUUAAAGGGAGCGUAGGCGGAUUAUUAAGUCAGUGGUGAAAGACGGUGGCUCAACCAUCGUUAGCCAUUGAAACUGGUAGUCUUGAGUGCAGACAGGGAUGCUGGAACUCGUGGUGUAGCGGUGAAAUGCUUAGAUAUCACGAUGAACUCCGAUCGCGAAGGCAGGUGUCCGGGCUGCAACUGACGCUGAGGCUCGAAAGUGUGGGUAUCAAACAGGAUUAGAUACCCUGGUGGUCCACACAGUAAACGAUGUAUACUCGCGGUUUGCGAUAGAGUGUAAGCCGCCAAGCGAAAGCAUUAAGUAUACCACCUGGGGAGUACGCCGGCAACGGUG
Molecule: ribosomal RNA, 539 nt
Filed under: uncultured bacterium
Lineage: Bacteria
Description: bacterial SSU rRNA
Rfam family: Bacterial small subunit ribosomal RNA
Source: RNAcentral